GUCCAUGUAGCUUACUUCCAAAGCAUGGCACUGAAGAUGCCAAGACGGUCCCCCACACACCCAAGGACA
This 69-nucleotide transfer RNA is filed under the name Otus scops. RNAcentral describes it as "tRNA-Phe". Lineage: Eukaryota; Metazoa; Chordata; Aves; Strigiformes; Strigidae. The record is from RNAcentral. RNAcentral also lists the same sequence under 1 other name.